This 554-nucleotide ribosomal RNA is filed under the name uncultured archaeon. Its description in RNAcentral is "bacterial SSU rRNA". It matches the Rfam family "Archaeal small subunit ribosomal RNA", at positions 325 to 885 of the family's 1478-position model. The record is from RNAcentral.
ACGGGGUGCAGCAGGCGCGAAACUCCACAUGCCGGAACAGCGAUAGGGGACCUCGUGCGCCAGAUACAAAUCUGGCCGUCGUGAUGCCUAAAAGCACCGCAUAGCAGGGCCGGGCAAGACCGGUGCCAGCCGCCGCGGUAACACCGGCGGCUCGAGUGGUAACCGUUAUUAUUGGGUCUAAGGGUCUGUAGCCGGCCGGGUAAGUCUCUUGGGAAAUCUGGCAGCUUAACUGUCAGGCUUUCAGGAGAUACUGUCUGGCUCGAGGCCGGGAGAGGUGAGAGGUACUUUCAGGGGUAGGGGUGAAAAUCUUGUAAUCCUUGAAGGACCACCAGUGGCGAAGGCGUCUCACCAGAACGGACCUGACGGCAAGGGACGAAAGCUAGGGGCACGAACCGGAUUAGAUACCCGGGUAGUCCUAGCCGUAAACGAUACUCGCUAGGUGUCGGCAACGGUGCGACCGUUGUCGGUGCCGUAGGGAAGCCGUGAAGCGAGCCACCUGGGAAGUACGGCCGCAAGGCUGAAACUUAAAGGAAUUGGCGGGGGAGCACCACAAC